UACGUAGGUGGCAAGCGUUGUCCGGAUUUACUGGGCGUAAAGGGCGUGCAGGCGGUUUGUUAAGUCUAGGGUGAAAGCUCCCGGCUCAACUGGGGAGGGUCACGCGAUACUGGUCGACUCGAAGGCAGGAGAGGGUAGUGGAAUUCCCGGUGUAGUGGUGAAAUGCGUAGAUAUCGGGAGGAACACCAGUGGCGAAGGCGACUACCUGGCCUGUUCUUGACGCUGAGGCGCGAAAGCUAGGGGAGCAAACGGG
This 253-nucleotide ribosomal RNA is filed under the name uncultured bacterium. RNAcentral describes it as "partial 16S ribosomal RNA". It matches the Rfam family "Bacterial small subunit ribosomal RNA", at positions 524 to 776 of the family's 1533-position model. The record is from RNAcentral.